GAUACGAUUAAUCUCGCAAUCAGCGUGCCAAUCCCUAUCCGGUAAGACAGCGAGAGGACGGGCGGCGUAAAGAUCGGCGCCGAUCGCUGGCCGUCCAUCUCGGAACCUGCGGACAGGCGUGAGCCGGGCGGGGUCCGCCACGAGGGAGGAUACGCCGCCCGCGAGAUCAGGUGGUAUAUUGGAGAAAACGUCAACGGAGCGUGGGUGCGUGUGUCUUGGACUAUUGCCUUGCCGAAGACGACGAUCUCUCUUCGCCUCUCCGUCCCCCCCAGGUCUCCUCCUCUGCUCGUCUCCGGUUAGCAUUCAAGUUUAAUUGUUCAGGGUCCAGGUGGAUCAAGCACCAGGGUUAAUAAGUAUAACUGUUAUCUAUUUAGCUAGUGCUUGUUGUGGUUUACUAAUGAGCAUUCGCGUCCGGGGACUUUGAUCCAACUUCAGCCGAUGGGGAAACGGCAAGGGAUGCACCGGUAUCUGGACACGUGAUGGACCCAGUAGUAAAUAUUCCUUUGUGGAAGGCUUUGGUUAUACCUGGGUAGCAAAGCGAAGUUUCUGGUGGGUAGGUGUCUAAAACAACCCUCUGCAAGGAAGCACGCCCGUAUCAAUCCUUUAAUCGGAGACUACUAAAUUAGCACACCAGAAUGCAGAUUUAGGUGUUCCUUUCCAAAGUUACAUACUGGUGAAUUUGUUCGGAUUCUUGAUCAUAUACCUUGAAAUAAAAUAAACUGAUGAAUCUGCCCU
Triticum aestivum (bread wheat) is the source of this 735-nucleotide long non-coding RNA. RefSeq lists it as uncharacterized. Lineage: Eukaryota; Viridiplantae; Streptophyta; Magnoliopsida; Poales; Poaceae. The transcript has 2 exons. The record is from RefSeq and is a predicted model, not a curated record.